AGAGUUUGAUCCUGGCUCAGGAUGAACGCUGACAGAAUGCUUAACACAUGCAAGUCUACUUGAACUUCGGUUUGGGUGGCGGACGGGUGAGUAACGCGUAAAGAACUUGCCUCACAGUUAGGGACAACAUUUGGAAACGAAUGCUAAUACCUGAUAUUAUGAUUUUAGGGCAUCCUAAGAUUAUGAAAGCUAUAUGCGCUGUGAGAGAGCUUUGCGUCCCAUUAGCUAGUUGGAGAGGUAACGGCUCACCAAGGCGAUGAUGGGUAGCCGGCCUGAGAGGGUGAACGGCCACAAGGGGACUGAGACACGGCCCUUACUCCUACGGGAGGCAGCAGUGGGGAAUAUUGGACAAUGGACCAAAAGUCUGAUCCAGCAAUUCUGUGUGCACGAUGACGUUUUUCGGAAUGUAAAGUGCUUUCAGUUGGGAAGAAAAAAAUGACGGUACCAACAGAAGAAGUGACGGCUAAAUACGUGCCAGCAGCCGCGGUAAUACGUAUGUCACAAGCGUUAUCCGGAUUUAUUGGGCGUAAAGCGCGUCUAGGUGGUUAUGUAAGUCUGAUGUGAAAAUGCAGGGCUCAACUCUGUAUUGCGUUGGAAACUGCAUGACUAGAGUACUGGAGAGGUAAGCGGAACUACAAGUGUAGAGGUGAAAUUCGUAGAUAUUUGUAGGAAUGCCGAUGGGGAAGCCAGCUUACUGGACAGAUACUGACGCUAAAGCGCGAAAGCGUGGGUAGCAAACAGGAUUAGAUACCCUGGUAGUCCACGCCGUAAACGAUGAUUACUAGGUGUUGGGGGUCGAACCUCAGCGCC
RNAcentral lists this ribosomal RNA (810 nucleotides) under uncultured Fusobacterium sp. Its description in RNAcentral is "bacterial SSU rRNA". It matches the Rfam family "Bacterial small subunit ribosomal RNA", at positions 8 to 847 of the family's 1533-position model. The record is from RNAcentral. Lineage: Bacteria; Fusobacteriati; Fusobacteriota; Fusobacteriia; Fusobacteriales; Fusobacteriaceae.